This 1482-nucleotide long non-coding RNA is filed under the name Parus major (Great Tit). RNAcentral's name for it is "lncRNA (ENSPMJG00000014482.1)". The record is from RNAcentral. Lineage: Eukaryota; Metazoa; Chordata; Aves; Passeriformes; Paridae.
AAAACACAAUAAGAGAGUGAGAAAACACUCAGGAGAAAAAAUCUCAGCUGCAAAACCCCUGAGUAACACUCCUAAACAAGAUUGGCUCGGUGCAGCCCCGGAUCCUGAGGCGCUGGGAAGAGGCAGCUCAGAGAAUCCCCCGUCAGUGACUGGGGUUUGAUUUACUCCUCAGAGCCAGGCAGAGCUCUCUGCUCUGCCAGCUCUGUCCUCCACCCCCGAGAGGGGCGGCUGCUCCUGCCAUGCCCGUGUGGGCAGGGGGUGCUGAGCCAGAGGGGCUGCAGCCCCCCGAGAUGUGACCCCUUUGUGCUGCUCCAGCCACAGCACGGGGCUCUGAUCCCCCGGGGGAUUUCUCCAGCGCUAAUUGACCCUGCACAGAGCCCAGCCCGCUCUCCAGCAGCAGCAGCAGCAGCAGCCUCAGCAUCCCCGCGGCUCCCGCAGCAGCAGCAGCGGCUCCCCCCGAGCCAAUGCCACCCCUACCCAAUGAAGCAGACCCCGAGGUGCCACGGAUGGAUCCCAGGAUUCUCAUUUUCCUCCUCUACGUGAUGAUCCUGCACGAGCUGGUCAGCGGCUGGAUGGAGUACCAGAAGCAGAUGGCCAAGCCAAAGAAGCAGGCAGGUCCGGUGUGGUCCUCCAGCAGCAGCAGCAGAUCAGCCUCCUCCAGCUUCUCCAGGCCGCUGGUGCACUCCGUGCGCAGGGAGAGGAACCGGGACUGGAGGAAAGCGGGAAGGAUCAUCAGGAAAGCCUGAAGGAUCGUCAGGAAAGCCUGAAGGAUCGUCAGGAAAGCCUGAAGGAUCAUCAGGAAAGCCUGAAGGAUCAUCAGGAAAGCCUGAGCAUGGAUCUGCUGCUGGGCCAGAGGAACCUGCAGACCUCACACACGGACAGCAUCCUCCAGAAACCUGCAGCUCAGAAGGACCGAGCCUCUUCCAGCUGGGAAUUUAUCCCUGCCUGGGGAGGAGCCACCACGCAGCGGUGGAAUAGCCCGAGGUGGGACUUUUGUCACCCAACACCACGAAGUGACUUUUCUUCCUUCUUCCCCGAGGGCUGAAUGGAUGGAGAACAGAUUUCCCAAGGAAAAAGCAGAAUUUGGUCCUGCAUGGGCAGCCCUGGGAAGACUCUCAGUGCUUUCAGCCUCCUCCAGCUCCAGGACUGUGUGGCCACUCAGCAUCAUUCCCCAAAGUGACUGGAAAACCUUCAGUGCCCUGUUUGUCACCACUCCCAGGAGGAGCUGCCUCCCCAGGGACACUUUGGGAACUCUGGCUCCCUGUUAAGGCUCCUGCACCAAACGCCUGCCAAUUUCUUCUCUGCUUUUCCCCACCUUUGUUAAAUAAGUUGCUCCGGGGAAGAGGAGGGAAAAUGCCCUGAACCAGUGACUCACAGUUAUAUCACCAAAUGCAAUUUACUGCCAUGGCCUUGUAAUUAGCAUUUUUGGAAACUUCCCAGCGGCUCAGGCAAAUAAAUGUAAAAGCCACUUUCUGAGGAGCA